UUUCAAAUUAAUUUAAUUGAUAGGUAAAAAUCCGUUGAAUUUGCAAAAAUUAGAAUAAAAACAACUUGAGAUGGGUGUUCUUUGAAUCUUGUUAUUAAUGAAGAUCCGCGAAUUUUAGAAAAACAUAUUUGGUUAAUAGAAUAAUCAGUAGACUAGAUGUAUUUAAAGUAUGAUUCUACGUAGCAAGGCUAAGAGCAUUAAUCCAUA
This 207-nucleotide long non-coding RNA is filed under the name Nicotiana benthamiana. Its description in RNAcentral is "long non-coding RNA (NBEN_LNC027776)". The record is from RNAcentral. Lineage: Eukaryota; Viridiplantae; Streptophyta; Magnoliopsida; Solanales; Solanaceae.